ACCGCUGCAGUAUACUAGGUACAAAUUGUGGCCCAUUUGAUCAAGUGCACAUUCUCUUUAUGUGAAAAUACAAUGUUCUUAUUUAAUAAUAAUUAUUUUUGUUCAUCUUUGUAGAAUUGCACAGGGUUUACAUCUACGUCAAGUAGAUAUGCUUCAAGAUGGCACUGCGAAGAGAACAGCAAUGCUUUUCAUGAUGUCAAAGAAACUCAGAAGUGUUAGUGUAAAAAGCCUGAAGACGCACCGAAAGAAAAAGAGGCAGAGAGUUGGCGGUCUUAAGCAUGCAGAACAAUGUAAGUGCAUGUUUGUUUGUUUGUUUUUAUAUCAAUAUGUGAAUCAUAGUUUAAGAUAGAUAUACAGUAAGUAGUUGAGACAGUGUUGCCAACUUAGCAAUUUUGUUGCUAAAUUUAGCAACUUUUCAGAUUGCCCUAGCAACUUUUUUUCCCCCCCUAAAGCACCUAGCAACAAAUGUAGCAUUUUUUUUUUUGUUUAUUUGGGAAUUUUUUGCAAUUUUUGAUAAGUGACUCUGCUAUUUGCAAUUGUUCAAUUUAAUAAUAAUUUAAUAAUUGUUCAUUUAUGAUACACUUUGUUAGUAGCUUGUACCUGUGAUUGUUGAUCAGUUAGUACUCUGUAAGAAAAAUGGAAAAGAUACUAGUAAUUUUCCAGGACAUUGUCCAUUAUCACCCUGUAACAUGAAAACACGAUGCGUAAUUUAAAAUGCAGGUAAAAAAAUCAAUAUGGGAAAUUCUUUCAUAUUUACACAGUAGAUUGUGCCCUAAUUUUACAGACCUUUCUUAGAGUGUAGCACACUAACUACUAAUACUGCUUAAAGCAUAAUUGUUGGGAAGGUGUAGUAUUACUAGUUUACUAGCUAUUAAAAAAACUUAAAUUGUAAUCAUUCAAAAACGUGUCAGUGUUCAAUAAUUCAAUUAAUUUAAAAAUAAAGUCAUUUAUAUUUUAAUAUUAUUUUUUACAUAUUAUUUUACAAACAAAUCUAAAUUAACAUUAAAUUAAAAUAUAUAUAUAUAUAUAUAUAUAUAUAUAUUUUUUUUUUUUUUUUUUUUUUUGCUGAGAUUUGAUGUUGUGAGACAAUUUUGCGUCAUUAUUACGCAAUGACGUCAUCGCGCAAUGACAUCAUAACGUCAUUUAGCAACUUUUAGCAACAAAUCAACCUUCCUUUAGCAACUUUCUCUGAAAAUUUGUUGGCAACAGUUGAGAAGGACAUCACUUUCCUCAAAGUCGUCUAUCAAUUAAUACAACUCUAGUUUUUUUUUUUUUUUUUCAUUAUAAUGUCAUGACACUUUCCUGCAUUAUUCCCACCCCAAUCCCUUGAUGUCCUGUUUACAGUCUAAAGUCUAAAGUUGUCAAAUUUCUCUCAGCAAUUUCAAUAAUUGAUUAUGUUAAUAAGAUUCUUUUGUAAGGUGAGGUAGUUUCUAUGGAAAAGAUAACAGCAAAUAUGUUUCAACUGAUACAUACACCGGGGACAUUUUGCUCUCACUGACAUGUUAUUUGUUUUGUUAAACCUGAAGGUUUAUCUCAUACAUAAGUAGAAUAGAACAGAUAUAUGUGCUCUUAACACAAAUAAAUAAAUAAAUAUGAUAUGAUAAAUGUUUCAUUUAAUGGCAAAAAUGUAUCUCAGUAUUUUAUUACCUUUGUUCAGUAAGUUUUAUUAAAGAGUUAGUCCACCCAAAAUGGAAAUUCUGUUAUUAAUUGCUCACCUUAAUGUUGUUUUAAACCUAUAAGACAUUUAACACAUAUGUUAACACACAUGAAGACAUUUUAAUGAAAUCUGAGAAAUUUCUGUCCCUCCAUUGACAGUCCAUGGAACUACCACUUUCAAGAUAGUAACAACAUCUUUAAAAUCAUAAAAUAAUCCAUGUGACACCAGUGGUUUAACCUCAAUUUUAUGGAGCAACAUGAGUGAUUUGUUUGCAAAAAGAACAAUUUACCACUUUAUUUAC
Long non-coding RNA from Cyprinus carpio carpio, 1958 nucleotides. NCBI's taxonomy places the organism in Eukaryota, Metazoa, Chordata, Actinopteri, Cypriniformes, Cyprinidae. The record is from Ensembl.